Mytilus californianus (California mussel) is the source of this 1502-nucleotide long non-coding RNA. RefSeq lists it as uncharacterized. NCBI's taxonomy places the organism in Eukaryota, Metazoa, Mollusca, Bivalvia, Mytilida, Mytilidae. The transcript has 3 exons. The record is from RefSeq and is a predicted model, not a curated record.
CAACAAUCUUUUAGUUUAAUCUGUUCUCAUGAGAGCUAUUGUAGAUAGAGAAAAACUUUAUAUAACUUAAAUAACCAGAACUCAACACAUACCCUUUAUCACCAGGUGACUCCCCAUACAUCAAAAACUGGAAAUAUAAAGGAUAUGCAUAGGGAACAAAGGUUAACAUAAUUUGAUCUAUAACCGUCAAAGUGAUAUGCACAGGCUCUCAUAAAACUAAACAAAAAACAUUUUGUCAUUUCUAGUCUUUCAGUCAAUUUACAGACCAUAUUGCAUAAAUCAAAAGAGCACGACUAAACAAUUUACAGGUCAAACAUAGUUGAUGAUGUCAAGAUCACACUGACCGUAUACAAAAGAGAGACAAAUGAUACGAAAGGGAUACUCAAUCUUUUAAGUCAAAAUCAAACCUUGAAUGCCAAUGCAAAAAAAAAAACAAAAAACAAAAAACAAUUGAAAGACAUACAGUUUAAAUAUCGAAAAUCAAAGAGUUAUUAACACAAAUAGGACCAAAAAGAGAGAUGAUAUCAGGAGCUCUGGAAGAGUUAGAAUAUCUUACUCUUCAAGUGGCUCCUGUCUUAAUAGUCAUUUCAGUACAAAACCAGUAAUUAAGUCUAAUUCGGUUAGUCACAUUCGGAGAAAAGAGGACAAUAUAAUUGUUACGACAAUUGGAACAAAUCCGUCGUCAUCUGCGAUAUAGAAAUUCCAUAACGGUCAGUCGACUCGUGAAAGCGUCCGAUAAUGGUUGUUUAACAGAUUUAAAUUCAAUAACUAGUGAUAUGAUAUAUUUUUUGACAAUUGUUGUAAUGAUUAAGCUGUAUUUUACCAUUUAUAUUGCUGCAAUUUAUGGUAUAUCAGUGUUUAAUUUAGGUACAAGUACAUACUUCAAUCGAAAAUGUCUCCCUUUUUUUCCUUGGGCGUACAAUAAAUCUUAUUUACGAUCUAAUAUUUAGUUUAAACAAAGCUGCAUUAUUAUAGUGAACUAAGUGCAAUUUUGAGAUGUUAUAUGUGUGUUUUUUGUAGUAGUUUAGGAUGAAAAGAUAAUUAUGUAUUUUCCGACAAAGUGUGUUUGGCAGAUCGAAAUUUUUUAUUGAAUCCUGUGUAUAGUUCUAUUGAGGAAUUUUAAAAACACUUUACCUGAGAACAAUGCUUCGAUCGAAUUAUUGAUAUAAAUAAAUCUUAUAAUAUGCGUGGUAUUAUUUGACAUGUUUACCAGACCAAACAAUGUAAACAACAAAAAUAAGAUGUAGCAAAUUUUUGUCACUGUGCCAUAACGAAGAUGUAAAGAAAAUAUAGUAGCUGUGACGUAGCAACCAUAGACAGAAAUAUGUGAAUUUUAAUACAUUUUCUCCGGCAUAGAUAGUUAGGUAGAAGUCCGUGUCCGUUACAUGCUUUUAACAUUACUUAGAGAGAGCCAGUCACAAUAGAGGUUGCUAAAAGACCAACAAGUUUAAGGUGAUGAUGUUGAAAAGCAAGAUAUGGUAUUGCACUUCAGUGUUAGCAUG